AUACAUGCAGUCGAGCGGACAGAAGGGAGCUUGCUCCCGGAUGUUAGCGGCGGACGGGUGAGUAACACGUGGGUAACCUGCCUGUAAGACUGGGAAACUCCGGGAAACCGGAGCUAAUACCGGAUAGUUCCUGAACCGCAUGGUUAAGGAUGAAAGACGGUUUCGGCUGUCACUUGCAGAUGGACCCGCGGCGCAUUAGCUAGUUGGUGAGGUAACGGCUCACCAAGGCAACGAUGCGUAGCCGACCUGAGAGGGUGAUCGGCCACACUGGGACUGAGACACGGCCCAGACUCCUACGGGAGGCAGCAGUAGGGAAUCUUCCGCAAUGGACGAAAGUCUGACGGAGCAACGCCGCGUGAGUGAUGAAGGUUUUCGGAUCGUAAAGCUCUGUUGUUAGGGAAGAACAAGUGCAAGAGUAACUGCUUGCACCUUGACGGUACCUAACCAGAAAGCCACGGCUAACUACGUGCCAGCAGCCGCGGUAAUACGUAGGUGGCAAGCGUUGUCCGGAUUAUUGGGCGUAAAGGGCUCGCAGGCGGUUCUUAAGUCUGAUGUGAAAGCCCCGGCUCACCGGGGAGGGUCAUGGAACUGGGAAACUUGAGUGCAAAAAGGAAAGU
RNAcentral lists this ribosomal RNA (617 nucleotides) under Bacillus sp. (in: firmicutes). Its description in RNAcentral is "bacterial SSU rRNA". It matches the Rfam family "Bacterial small subunit ribosomal RNA", at positions 51 to 662 of the family's 1533-position model. Lineage: Bacteria; Bacillati; Bacillota; Bacilli; Caryophanales; Bacillaceae. The record is from RNAcentral.